AAGUAGAGAAAGUCUAAACAAGAAAAUGGCAGAGUUGUAAUAAAAGUGUAUUUGAUGGAUCGGAGAAAUUAUUACCUAUCAUCGCCGCCAAAAGUUACCUGCUUCGUGAUUAUAAGAUCAACUUCAUGGGGAAGACAGUACUGAUGAUUGAUUAUGGCUGUGGCAGAGGGUGGAGAUGAUGAUGAUGUUGGUGAUUUUGACAUGAUAAUAACAACGUUUGAGGUUCUAUAUAUGAGUGGCACAAAUUUGAGAUAUAAUUGAAUUGAAUUGAGUUGGAUAAUGAUUAAGAGUGGCACAAAUAUCGUUCAUAUAUAAAGGGGAGUAUACGGAAGCUUUUCUAACUUGACUAAGUUCAUGUUUGAAAUCGAUAAGGUCAAAAGUAGGGGAUCUUCCAAUUUUCUUUGGUGAUAUAUAAUAUAUUUAAUACUCAAUUUGUUUUUUAAAUUUAUAUGUAAAUUUUAAUUUAAUUUUUAAUAUUUUAAUUAAUUUUAUUUAGUCUUUUAUAAAUUUAUAAAUGGGAUUUAAAUUAGUUUUAUGUAACAAUUUUGGUACAUAAAUGUUAAUGGAGC
This 569-nucleotide long non-coding RNA is filed under the name Arachis ipaensis. RNAcentral's name for it is "long non-coding RNA (AIPA_LNC000991)". Lineage: Eukaryota; Viridiplantae; Streptophyta; Magnoliopsida; Fabales; Fabaceae. The record is from RNAcentral.